GAUGAACGCUAGCGGCAGGCCUAACACAUGCAAGUCGAGGGAGGAGCUUUCGGGCUUCGACCGGCGUACGGGUGCGUAACGCGUAUACAAUCUGCCUUUCACAUAGGGAUAGCCCGAAGAAAUUUGGAUUAAUACCUAAUGGUAUAUAGGAGUGGCAUCACAUUUAUAUUAAAGCUGAGGCGGUGAAAGAUGAGUAUGCGUUCUAUUAGCUAGUUGGAGAGGUAACGGCUCCCCAAGGCGACGAUAGAUAGGGGUUCUGAGAGGGAUAUCCCCCACACUGGUACUGAGAUACGGACCAGACUCCUACGGGAGGCAGCAGUGAGGAAUAUUGGACAAUGGUCGGAAGACUGAUCCAGCCCUGCCGCGUGCAGGAAGACGGCCUUAUGGGUUGUAAACUGCUUUUGCAGGGGAAGAAUAAGGACUACGAGUAGUUUGAUGACGGUACUCUGCGAAUAAGCAUCGGCUAACUCCGUG
This 474-nucleotide ribosomal RNA is filed under the name uncultured bacterium. Its description in RNAcentral is "partial 16S ribosomal RNA". It matches the Rfam family "Bacterial small subunit ribosomal RNA", at positions 28 to 507 of the family's 1533-position model. The record is from RNAcentral.